AUUAGGGUGGCAGAGCCAGGCAUAAUGCAAAAGGCCUAAGACCUUUCUAUCAGAUGUUCAAAUCAUCUCCCUAAUA
Molecule: transfer RNA, 76 nt
Filed under: Lamprolepis smaragdina
Lineage: Eukaryota; Metazoa; Chordata; Lepidosauria; Squamata; Scincidae
Description: tRNA-Leu
Source: RNAcentral